RNAcentral lists this ribosomal RNA (493 nucleotides) under uncultured bacterium. Its description in RNAcentral is "bacterial SSU rRNA". It matches the Rfam family "Bacterial small subunit ribosomal RNA", at positions 29 to 515 of the family's 1533-position model. The record is from RNAcentral.
AACAAACGCUGGCGGCGUGUCUUAAGCAUGCAAGUUGAGCGGCAAGGAGGAGAGAUCCUCCCUAGAGCGGCGGACUGGUGAGUAACGCGUGGGUAAUCUAUCGUAGGCAUGGGGAUAGUCACUAGAAAUAGUGGGUAAUACCGAAUACGUUCCAUGAGGGGAGUAUUCAUGGAAGAAAGGGUGCUACGGCACUGGCCUUAGGUGAGCUCGCGUCCCAUUAGCUAGUUGGUGAGGUAAAGGCCCACCAAGGCGAUGAUGGGUAGCCGGCCUGAGAGGGUGUACGGCCACACUGGGACUGAAAUACGGCCCAGACUCCUACGGGAGGCAGCAGCUAAGAAUAUUCGCAAUGGACGAAAGUCUGACGGAGCGACGCCGCGUGGAUGAAGAAGGCCGAAAGGUUGUAAAGUUCUUUUGCUAGGGGAGAUAAGUGAGGGAGGAUGCCUCAUGAUGACAAGGACUAGCGAAUAAGCCCCGGCAACUACGUGCCAGCACG